UAAAUAGAUUAAUUUAUUUAUCGUUUAACAAUUUAAACUUAAAUAAUUCGUAUUCAAGUAUAUUAUUGUCAUUUAUCUCUCAUUUUUGUAAUUUGAGCUUUUAAAUGAAGAAAUUAAACACGAUAAGGCUAGAUUCAAUUCAAGAUUCACAAUCAAUACAUAGACAUACAUGGCGUGCAUCAAUUGAGAGAAAGAAAUAUCUAGAAAUGGAUUAAAAUAAAGCGUGUUGGCGUCAAUUACCCACAAAGAUUAUAUGAUGACCUGUCUAAGCCAUCAUAGUCCAACUAUGAAAAAGGAAAAUGAUUCCAAUAUUGAAUUUUAAUGAUGUAACAAGAACUUGAGAUUUUAAUGAACUUUAAAAGAUUAUAAAAUUCAUUAGAAUAUCGUGAAUUUGAAUAGAUUUCCU
RNAcentral lists this long non-coding RNA (406 nucleotides) under Olea europaea subsp. europaea. The record is from RNAcentral. Lineage: Eukaryota; Viridiplantae; Streptophyta; Magnoliopsida; Lamiales; Oleaceae.